RNAcentral lists this ribosomal RNA (482 nucleotides) under uncultured bacterium. Its description in RNAcentral is "partial 16S ribosomal RNA". It matches the Rfam family "Bacterial small subunit ribosomal RNA", at positions 30 to 507 of the family's 1533-position model. The record is from RNAcentral.
AUUGAACGCUGGCGGCAUGCCUUACACAUGCAAGUCGAACGGUAACAGGUCUUCGGAUGCUGACGAGUGGCGAACGGGUGAGUAAUACAUCGGAACGUGCCCGAUCGUGGGGGAUAACGAGGCGAAAGCUUUGCUAAUACCGCAUACGAUCUACGGAUGAAAGCGGGGGAUCUUCGGACCUCGCGCGGACGGAGCGGGCGAUGGCAGAUUAGGUAGUUGGUGGGAUAAAAGCUUACCAAGCCGACGAUCUGUAGCUGGUCUGAGAGGAUGAUCAGCCACACUGGGACUGAGACACGGCCCAGACUCCUACGGGAGGCAGCAGUGGGGAAUUUUGGACAAUAGGCGAAAGCCUGAUCCAGCCAUGCCGCGUGCAGGAUGAAGGCCUUCGGGUUGUAAACUGCUUUUGUACGGAACGAAAAGCCUCUUUCUAAUAAAGAGGGGUCAUGACGGUACCGUAAGAAUAAGCACCGGCUAACUACGUG